RNAcentral lists this ribosomal RNA (241 nucleotides) under Xanthomonas euvesicatoria. Its description in RNAcentral is "partial 23S ribosomal RNA". It matches the Rfam family "Bacterial large subunit ribosomal RNA", at positions 910 to 1149 of the family's 2925-position model. The record is from RNAcentral. Lineage: Bacteria; Pseudomonadati; Pseudomonadota; Gammaproteobacteria; Lysobacterales; Lysobacteraceae.
CUGUUAUGGCUAGGGGGUCAUCGCGACUUACCAAACCAUUGCAAACUCCGAAUACCGAGACGGACUGUAUGGGAGACACACGGCGGGUGCUAACGUCCGUCGUGAAAAGGGAAACAACCCAGAUCCACAGCUAAGGUCCCAAAUUCACUGCUAAGUGGAAAACGAUGUGGAAAGGCAUAGACAGCCAGGAGGUUGGCUUAGAAGCAGCCACCCUUUAAAGAAAGCGUAAUAGCUCACUGGU